RNAcentral lists this ribosomal RNA (349 nucleotides) under Bdellovibrio sp. Its description in RNAcentral is "bacterial SSU rRNA". It matches the Rfam family "Bacterial small subunit ribosomal RNA", at positions 1188 to 1533 of the family's 1533-position model. Lineage: Bacteria; Pseudomonadati; Bdellovibrionota; Bdellovibrionia; Bdellovibrionales; Pseudobdellovibrionaceae. The record is from RNAcentral.
AGAACUCAUGACUUACGACCAGGGCUACACACGUGCUACAAUGGCAUAUACAAAGAGAAGCGACCUCGCGAGAGCAAGCGGACCUCAUAAAGUAUGUCGUAGUCCGGAUUGGAGUCUGCAACUCGACUCCAUGAAGUCGGAAUCGCUAGUAAUCGUAGAUCAGAAUGCUACGGUGAAUACGUUCCCGGGCCUUGUACACACCGCCCGUCACACCAUGGGAGUGGGUUGCAAAAGAAGUAGGUAGCUUAACCUUCGGGAGGGCGCUUACCACUUUGUGAUUCAUGACUGGGGUGAAGUCGUAACAAGGUAACCGUAGGGGAACCUGCGGUUGAUCCAAACCUCCUUAAAA